RNAcentral lists this ribosomal RNA (120 nucleotides) under uncultured bacterium. Its description in RNAcentral is "partial 16S ribosomal RNA". It matches the Rfam family "Bacterial small subunit ribosomal RNA", at positions 215 to 334 of the family's 1533-position model. The record is from RNAcentral.
GCGGUCAAGGAUGGGCUCGCGGCCUAUCAGCUAGUUGGUGAGGUAACGGCUCACCAAGGCUUCGACGGGUAGCCGGCCUGAGAGGGCGACCGGCCACACUGGGACUGAGAUACGGCCCAG